AAGAGUGAACUAGCUAACUGAAAUCACAAUAAUCUGUGAUAACGUAAGGGAAAAAACUGAUGUUACCUUACUAUUAAGUGUUGUCCAAAACUGGUGCCAGAAGACUCGGUAAGACCUGAAACGCAAACGUUAAUCGUCCUAAUCAGGCGUAAAGGGUUCGUAGGCUGCUUUUAAAAAUCAUUUUAUUUAAAAAAGCUCUGAUUUUAUCAGUUAAAUAAAAUAAUAAUAAUAAAAGCUAGAAUCAAAUUUAGGAUAAAAAAAUGCUUAGAGAUAGGGAUGGUAUCCAUAGAUACUAAGUGGAAUACUAAAGGUGAAAGCUUUUAUCUACUAAUGAUUGACGCUGAGGAACGAAGGUGAGAAUAGGAAAUAGGAUUAGAUACCCAGAUACCUCUCACUGUCAACGAUGAAUGGUAGUUUGUCAGUUUUAGAAAAAAUUGGUAACGAUGUUAACGCGAUAACCAUUCCGCCUUGCGAGUACGGUUGCAAAACUGAAACCAAAAAAAUUAGUCGAUCUCGAAGCAAACGAAGUGGAGCAUGUUAUUUAAUU
RNAcentral lists this ribosomal RNA (547 nucleotides) under Amanita brunnescens. RNAcentral describes it as "partial small subunit ribosomal RNA". It matches the Rfam family "Bacterial small subunit ribosomal RNA", at positions 408 to 951 of the family's 1533-position model. The record is from RNAcentral. Lineage: Eukaryota; Fungi; Basidiomycota; Agaricomycetes; Agaricales; Amanitaceae.